Molecule: ribosomal RNA, 229 nt
Filed under: uncultured bacterium
Lineage: Bacteria
Description: partial 16S ribosomal RNA
Rfam family: Bacterial small subunit ribosomal RNA
Source: RNAcentral
UACAGGAGGGUGCAAGCGUUGUUCGGAAUUAUUGGGCGUAAAGCGCGUGUAGGCGGCUUUGCAAGUCGGGUGUGAAAGCCCCCAGCUCAACUGGGGAAGAUGCCUCUGAUACUGGUCGCCUCGAGGGAGGUAGGGGCGUGCGGAACUUCCGGUGGAGCGGUGAAAUGCGUAGAUAUCGGAAGGAACGUCGGUGGCGAAAGCGGCGCGCUGGACCUCUUCUGACGCUGAG